Molecule: small nucleolar RNA, 117 nt
Organism: Carya illinoinensis
Lineage: Eukaryota; Viridiplantae; Streptophyta; Magnoliopsida; Fagales; Juglandaceae
Source: RefSeq, a predicted model, not a curated record
CUCAAUUAUGAAUAUUAUCUGCAUAUAAUGGCUCGGACGCUAUAUCUAAAGUAUGUGGUUAUCCUGAUCAAUGGUUGCUUACGAUGUCAUUUGAUCCUGGAAACAGAACAUGCACUA